This 220-nucleotide ribosomal RNA is filed under the name uncultured bacterium. RNAcentral's name for it is "partial 16S ribosomal RNA". It matches the Rfam family "Bacterial small subunit ribosomal RNA", at positions 794 to 1020 of the family's 1533-position model. The record is from RNAcentral.
UCCACGCCGUAAACGAUGAGUGCUAGGUGUUGGGGAGACUCAGUGCCGCAGCUAACGCAAUAAGCACUCCGCCUGGGGAGUACGACCGCAAGGUUGAAACUCAAAGGAAUUGACGGGGACCCGCACAAGCAGCGGAGCAUGUGGUUUAAUUCGAAGCAACGCGAAGAACCUUACCAGGUCUUGACAUCCUCUGACAACCCAAGAGAUUGGGCUUUCCCUU